ACGGGAGGCAGCAGUGAGGAAUAUUGGUCAAUGGACGAGAGUCUGAACCAGCCAAGUAGCGUGAAGGAUGACUGCCCUAUGGGUUGUAAACUUCUUUUAUACGGGAAUAAAGUGAGGCACGUGUGCCUUUUUGUAUGUACCGUAUGAAUAAGGAUCGGCUAACUCCGUGCCAGCAGCCGCGGUAAUACGGAGGAUCCGAGCGUUAUCCGGAUUUAUUGGGUUUAAAGGGAGCGUAGGCGGACGCUUAAGUCAGUUGUGAAAGUUUGCGGCUCAACCGUAAAAUUGCAGUUGAUACUGGGUGUCUUGAGUACAGUAGAGGCAGGCGGAAUUCGUGGUGUAGCGGUGAAAUGCUUAGAUAUCACGAAGAACUCCGAUUGCGAAGGCAGCUUGCUGGACUGUAACUGACGCUGAUGCUCGAAAGUGUGGGUAUCAAACAGGAUUAGAUACCCUGGUAGUCCACACAGUAAACGAUGAAUACUCGCUGUUUGCGAUAUACAGUAAGCGGCC
This 507-nucleotide ribosomal RNA is filed under the name uncultured bacterium. RNAcentral describes it as "bacterial SSU rRNA". It matches the Rfam family "Bacterial small subunit ribosomal RNA", at positions 341 to 848 of the family's 1533-position model. The record is from RNAcentral.